GUGAACGCUGGCGGUAGGCCUCACACCUGCAAGUCGAACGGCAACACAGUAAGAGCUUGCUCUUACGGGUGGCGAGUGGCGGACGGGUGAGGAAUACAUCGGAAUCUACUUUUUCGUGGGGGAUAACGUAGGGAAACUUACGCUAAUACCGCAUACGACCUACGGGUGAAAGCAGGGGAUCUUCGGACCUUGCGCGAUUGAAUGAGCCGAUGUCGGAUUAGCUAGUUGGCGGGGUAAAGGCCCACCAAGGCGACGAUCCGUAGCUGGUCUGAGAGGAUGAUCAGCCACACUGGAACUGAGACACGGUCCAGACUCCUACGGGAGGCAGCAGUGGGGAAUAUUGGACAAUGGGCGCAAGCCUGAUCCAGCCAUACCGCGUGGGUGAAGAAGGCCUUCGGGUUGUAAAGCCCUUUUGUUGGGAAAGAAAAGCAGCAGGUUAAUACCCCGCUGUUCUGACGGUACCCAAAGAAUAAGCACCGGCUAACUUCGUG
Molecule: ribosomal RNA, 491 nt
Filed under: uncultured bacterium
Lineage: Bacteria
Description: partial 16S ribosomal RNA
Rfam family: Bacterial small subunit ribosomal RNA
Source: RNAcentral